UAAAGUUGUUGCAGUUAAAAAGCACGUAGUUGAAUUUCGGGGUCAGUAGGUUGGUCGUGCCUAUGGUAUGUACUGGCUUUACUGAUUCCUCCUUCUUGAAGAACUGUAAUGUCAUUAAUUUGGUGUUGCAGGGAAACAGGACUGUUACUUUGAAAAAAUUAGAGUGUUUAAAGCAGGCUAACGCUUGAAUACAUUAGCAUGGAAUAAUGAAAUAGNACGUUCGAUCCUAUUUUGUUGGUUUCUAGGAUUGACGUAAUGAUUAAUAGGG
This 268-nucleotide ribosomal RNA is filed under the name uncultured Glomus. RNAcentral describes it as "partial small subunit ribosomal RNA". It matches the Rfam family "Eukaryotic small subunit ribosomal RNA", at positions 605 to 877 of the family's 1831-position model. The record is from RNAcentral. Lineage: Eukaryota; Fungi; Glomeromycota; Glomeromycetes; Glomerales; Glomeraceae.